This 550-nucleotide ribosomal RNA is filed under the name uncultured bacterium. Its description in RNAcentral is "bacterial SSU rRNA". It matches the Rfam family "Bacterial small subunit ribosomal RNA", at positions 355 to 896 of the family's 1533-position model. The record is from RNAcentral.
UAGGGAAUCUUCGGCAAUGGACGGAAGUCUGACCGAGCAACGCCGCGUGAGUGAAGAAGGUUUUCGGAUCGUAAAGCUCUGUUGUAAGAGAAGAACGAGUGUGAGAGUGGAAAGUUCACACUGUGACGGUAUCUUACCAGAAAGGGACGGCUAACUACGUGCCAGCAGCCGCGGUAAUACGUAGGUCCCGAGCGUUGUCCGGAUUUAUUGGGCGUAAAGCGAGCGCAGGCGGUUAGAUAAGUCUGAAGUUAAAGGCUGUGGCUUAACCAUAGUAGGCUUUGGAAACUGUUUAACUUGAGUGCAAGAGGGGAGAGUGGAAUUCCAUGUGUAGCGGUGAGAUGCGUAGAUAUAUGGAGGAACACCGGUGGCGAAAGCGGCUCUCUGGCUUGUAACUGACGCUGAGGCUCGAAAGCGUGGGGAGCAAACAGGAUUAGAUACCCUGGUAGUCCACGCUGUAAACGAUGAGUGCUAGGUGUUAGACCCUUUCCGGGGUUUAGUGCCGUAGCUAACGCAUUAAGCACUCCGCCUGGGGAGUACGACCGCAAGGUUG